CUUGACGACCAUAGAGCAUUGGAACCACCUGAUCCCAUCCCGAACUCAGCAGUGAAACGAUGCAUCGCCGAUGGUAGUNCGCGGCUCUAUUGCAGCCUGUAUCUCAAACCGUCGAGCGUUGGGC
This 124-nucleotide ribosomal RNA is filed under the name Pseudomonas sp. CFBP 8773. The record is from RNAcentral. Lineage: Bacteria; Pseudomonadati; Pseudomonadota; Gammaproteobacteria; Pseudomonadales; Pseudomonadaceae.